This 510-nucleotide ribosomal RNA is filed under the name uncultured bacterium. RNAcentral's name for it is "partial 16S ribosomal RNA". It matches the Rfam family "Bacterial small subunit ribosomal RNA", at positions 28 to 523 of the family's 1533-position model. The record is from RNAcentral.
GAUGAACGCUAGCGACAGGCCUAACACAUGCAAGUCGAGGGGCAGCAUGAAGUUAGCUUGCUAAUUUUGAUGGCGACCGGCGCACGGGUGAGUAACACGUAUGCAACCUGCCUGUAAGCGGGGGAUAACCCGGAGAAAUUCGGACUAAUACCGCAUAGUAUCAUCGAAUCGCAUGUUUUGAUGAUUAAAAAUUUAUUGCUUACAGAUGGGCAUGCGUAUGAUUAGCUAGUUGGCGGGGUAACGGCCCACCAAGGCGACGAUCAUUAGGGGUCCUGAGAGGAAGGUCCCCCACAUUGGAACUGAGACACGGCCCAGACUCCUACGGGAGGCAGCAGUGGGGAAUCUUGCGCAAUGGGCGAAAGCCUGACGCAGCGACGCCACGUGCGGGAAGAAGGCCUUCGGGUUGUAAACCGCUUUCAGGAGAGACGAAGCUACUCGGGUUAACAGCCCAGAGGGUGACGGUACCUCCAGAAGAAGCCCCGGCUAACUACGUGCCAGCCGCCGCGGUAA